Molecule: long non-coding RNA, 277 nt
Organism: Oncorhynchus keta (chum salmon)
Lineage: Eukaryota; Metazoa; Chordata; Actinopteri; Salmoniformes; Salmonidae
Exons: 3
Source: RefSeq, a predicted model, not a curated record
CCAGCUUUGAGUUGUGUUGGGUAGGUCUGUACCAGCUUUGAGUUGUGUUGGGUAGGUCUGUACCAGCUUUGAGUUGUCUUGGGUAGGUCUGUACCAGCUUUGAGUUGUCUUGGGUAUGUCUGUUCCAGCUUUGAGUUGUGUUGGGUAGGUCUGUUCCAGCUUUGAGUUGUGUUGGGUAGGUCUGUACCAGCUUUGAGUUGUCUUGGGUAGGUCUGUACCAUCUUUGAGUUGUCUUGGGUAGGUCUGUACCAGCUUUGAGUUGUCUUGGGUAUGUCUG